This 253-nucleotide ribosomal RNA is filed under the name uncultured bacterium. RNAcentral's name for it is "partial 16S ribosomal RNA". It matches the Rfam family "Bacterial small subunit ribosomal RNA", at positions 524 to 776 of the family's 1533-position model. The record is from RNAcentral.
UACGUAGGGUGCGAGCGUUGUCCGGAAUUACUGGGCGUAAAGAGCUCGUAGGUGGUUUGUCGCGUUGUCCGUGAAAACUCACAACUCAAUUGUGGGCGUGCGGGCGAUACGGGCAGACUGGAGUACUGCAGGGGAGACUGGAAUUCCUGGUGUAGCGGUGGAAUGCGUAGAUAUCUGGAGGAACACCGGUGGCGAAGGCGGCAUCCUGGACCGGCAUUGACGCUGAGGCGCGAAAGCUAGGGGAGCGAACAGG